RNAcentral lists this long non-coding RNA (388 nucleotides) under Rattus norvegicus (Norway rat). RNAcentral describes it as "long non-coding RNA NONRATT027904". Lineage: Eukaryota; Metazoa; Chordata; Mammalia; Rodentia; Muridae. The record is from RNAcentral.
UGGCGACCGACGCGCGGCGGUGGCGGAGACCCACCCCCGUCCACAUGGACAGUCGCCGAGGCCUGGGCUGAUGCUCUGACGCCUGGGCGGGGUGGGCGGGCGGCGGCGGCCACUGCUGGAGCAGCGAGGGGUCGCGGGCGCCUGACGGUCGCGGAGCCCUCGCUCGGCUCGGCGCUGCGGCCAUUUUACGGCCCGGGACGCAGGAGGCGUGUGAGCGUUCGCUUCGUUCUCCGUCCUCCGGGGCCAGCGGCGGAGCGGAGAGGAGCUUCUCCGAGGCCGGCGCGGGCGGUGGAUGGGGAGUCGUGUGCUGAGGGGAGCCGGGCCCGGGAAGCGCCGCCGCCGCCGCUCACGGUCCCCGGUAGGCGCCUGAGGAGAAGAAACCCAGGCC